Oreochromis niloticus (Nile tilapia) is the source of this 1807-nucleotide non-coding RNA. Lineage: Eukaryota; Metazoa; Chordata; Actinopteri; Cichliformes; Cichlidae. The record is from RefSeq and is a predicted model, not a curated record.
UUUUUCCCCUUUUCUUUUUUUUUUCUGGGUGAAAAUGGCUGCCACUCUCAUCCAAACCUCUGCGUAGAGGAUUAACUGAGCGUUGAAAUAUGCAGCAGACCCGCUUCGAGACAACACUCGCAGACGCCAGGGCGUAGUUAGUGCUGCGCCUUCACAAAGAUGUUGUGGCCGUCAGGGAGAGGAAGUGUAGACGAGUCGAAAUUAACCCUUUCCACUCCAACGUCCACCAACAAAUGAGUGCUAAAAAGGCCUGUGUGGGCCACUAGAAGUCAGCUACUAAAAACUGGGUUGUUUGUCAGUAAAACACGUGGCUUUUCUAGCUCAUGUAUUUCUGUGUACCCCAACAGAAAAUGAUGCACCAAGUGACCACCAGCAGCAGUGACUAUUGCAUGAGUGCACUGACAGAGGACUGUCAUCCAGGCAGCCACUUUGAUUUAUGUAGUACACAGUCCAACAAAUUCUACCCCUCUCCGACAAACCCUGGUUUGCAGCUGUCCCUCGCCAGCCUUGCCCCUUUGCCACAGGGCAUGCACAAAGCCAUGGCGUGCCAGUUACAAGACGCCCAGAAUGACUUCCAGUCACAGGCGGUGAGAAUCAGAGCCGGUGAAGCUCUAGGGCCUGAGGGCUCUAAGAAAAAGAAGGGCACGGCGAAGUCAGGGCGGAGAGGGAGGCCAUCGGGGACCACAAAGUCAGCUGGGUACCGUACAAGUACUGGGCGUCCACUUGGGACAACUAGAGCAGCCGGUUUCAAGACAAGCCCAGGUAGGCCCCUUGGAACCACCAAAGCUGCAGGAUAUAAGGUGAGCCCUGGGAGACCGCCCGGCAGCAUCAAGAGCCUCACUCGCCUCAAGAAGCUAGAAUUCGGAUGCGACGGCACCAGGAAGCUGGACUUUAGCAACUGCAGUGCUCCCAAGAAGCUGGACUUCACUACCUGUGAUGUUUCAUCUUUUCCAUACACCAUGAUGGAGAAAAGAGACCUCUGUGAGCCCGGUAGCAAUAAAGUGGAUGAAACCACAGAGAUAAAUUCUGCAGCUGCUUCCCCGGUGUUUGAAAAACAUUUGGUUGCAUGAACAAGAGGACUAGAAGGAAUUGUGGCAUUUCAUGUAUGCUGGGAGAAAAAGUUGUUUUUUUCAUUUACAGUGGUUCUAAGUUUUCAUUGUACAGUGUUUGGCAUUCUCAUCAUCCUCUCCUAAUAAACGGCUGAAUCACAAAUAUGUUGCUCCAGUAUGGCAGAGGUGCAUGCACAUGAAAUAACACCAGUCAGUAUAGUUAGUUUGUGGUUCAGACCUCAGUAACCCUGAUGUAUUUGGUUCCUCUGAAUUGUGACAUGUUCUCUUACUCUGUUCUAAGACAUGAAUAUGUUUGUUUGUGUGACAUUUUCUACAUGCAUAAACAUUUUAGAACAAAAAAAAAAAUCAAUGAAACCAAAUCCUUCCCGAGCAUAAAUAUGUAACCGUGUAGUCGUUCUUUGUGUUUUGUCCGCUUGUCUGAUAUGUGGUUUAUUUUGUGAUACAAUCCAGCAUCUUAUCGAGAGCAGGAGCCCUGCGGUACGUUUUUAUUGACUCAAACUGGGAAAGCUUAAAGCAUAAUACCCCCUUUGUUUCUGCACUUUGUAAAUAUAGUUUGCAUCAUGUAUUGUAACAGCCUGUUUCCAUAUCCACAGUCACUUGAUAAGCACUUCCACUUGUGCAUGUAUGUUAGACUGAUCAGUAGAGGGGGGAACGACUAAUGCUUUGUGGCAUAUGUAAUAAUAAUAAUGAUUUCCUGUAUGUGAAACCAAAAUAAAAGAAACAAAUGGUCUUUUUCA